AGCAGCCGCGGUAAUUCCAGCUCCAAUAGCGUAUAUUAAAGUUGCUGCAGUUAAAAAGCUCGUAGUUGAAUUUCGGGACUAAUAUGUCGGUCGUGCCUCGGUACGUACUGGCUUAUUGGUUUCUCCUUUCUGAAGAACCAUGAUGUCAUUUAUUUGGUGUCGUGGGGAAUCAGGACUGUUACUUUGAAAAAAUUAGAGUGUUUAAAGCAGGCUCACGCUUGAAUACAUUAGCAUGGAAUAAUGAAAUAGGACGUUUGAUUCUAUUUUGUUGGUUUCUAGGAUCGACGUAAUGAUUAAUAGGGAUAGUUGGGGGCAUUAGUAUUCAAUUGUCAGAGGUGAAAUUCUUGGAUUUAUUGAAGACUAACUACUGCGAAAGCAUUUGCCAAGGAUGUUUUCAUUAAUCAAGAACGAAAGUUAGGGGAUCGAAGACGAUCAGAUACCGUCGUAGUCUUAACCAUAAACUAUGCCGACUAGGGAUCGGAUGAUGUUAAUUUUUAAUGUACUCAUUCG
This 510-nucleotide ribosomal RNA is filed under the name uncultured Glomus. RNAcentral describes it as "SSU rRNA". It matches the Rfam family "Eukaryotic small subunit ribosomal RNA", at positions 569 to 1082 of the family's 1831-position model. Lineage: Eukaryota; Fungi; Glomeromycota; Glomeromycetes; Glomerales; Glomeraceae. The record is from RNAcentral.